RNAcentral lists this long non-coding RNA (621 nucleotides) under Papio anubis (olive baboon). Its description in RNAcentral is "lncRNA (ENSPANG00000040168.1)". Lineage: Eukaryota; Metazoa; Chordata; Mammalia; Primates; Cercopithecidae. The record is from RNAcentral.
AUGCCCCCGGCUCCUGUCCACGGGCAUGGCCUCCUGGGAGCCAAGUGGGGCGGGCAGGCAGUGUGGCCUCCUGGUGAUCCACACGCCCCCUCCUCACUGGGACCGGGGAGCAGCCCCUACAGCCAGGAGGAGCAGGCCCUGGGCCAGACGCCACAAGCUGGGGCCUGGUACUGGCUGUGUAUGGUGUCUGUGACCUCAGGCAGAGCCUGUGCCGGCCUGUGCCUGUCUCCACCGGCACGAGCUAUGUGGCAGGUCACGGUGGCUGGGCCAGGGCCUCAGGUUGGCCUCCCUGUCAUCUGCCCUUCCAGGGACACAGGCUGCUGCAUGGGAGAGCCAGGCUGGCCAGGCCCUGGGACUCAGAGCUCCACUCUCAGCUGGCCUGGCGACCUGGCAGGAGCCCCCACCCCAUUGAAGUGCACAGGCCCAGCUUGGACACCACACCCCUCUGGUGCUCAACAAGAUAGCCGAGGCUGGCUUACUCCGCUGGUCCCCGUGUGCCACUGUCUCCCUCCGUGGGUCAUUUGUCAUCAUCCAUCCACGUGGGCCCAGGGCUCUGUCAACCCCCUGGAGAAGCCGCUUGAAACGACAGCCAAGAACAGGGCCCCCACUGGCUCUUCUUGA